GGGUAGUUUGACUGGGGCGGUCUCCUCCUAAAGAGUAACGGAGGAGCACGAAGGUCAGCUAAUCCUGGUCGGACAUCAGGAGGUUAGUGCAAUGGCAUAAGCUGGCUUGACUGCGAGCGUGACGGCGCGAGCAGGUGCGAAAGCAGGUCAUAGUGAUCCGGUGGUUCUGAAUGGAAGGGCCAUCGCUCAACGGAUAAAAGGUACUCCGGGGAUAACAGGCUGAUACCGCCCAAGAGUUCAUAUCGACGGCGGUGUUUGGCACCUCGAUGUCGGCUCAUCACAUCCUGGGGCUGAAGUAGGUCCCAAGGGUAUGGCUGUUCGCCAUUUAAAGUGGUACGCGAGCUGGGUUUAGAACGUCGUGAGACAGUUCGGUCCCUAUCUGCCGUGGGCGCUGGAGAAUUGAGGGGGGCUGCUCCUAGUACGAGAGGACCGGAGUGGACGCAUCACUGGUGUUCGGGUUGUCAUGCCAAUGGCAUUGCCCGGUAGCUAAAUGCGGAAGAGAUAAGUGCUGAAAGCAUCUAAGCACGAAACUUGCCCCGAGAUGAGUUCUCCCUGACCCUUUAAGGGUCCUGAAGGAACGUUGAAGACGACGACGUUGAUAGGCCGGGU
This 609-nucleotide ribosomal RNA is filed under the name Klebsiella oxytoca. RNAcentral describes it as "partial 23S ribosomal RNA". It matches the Rfam family "Bacterial large subunit ribosomal RNA", at positions 2263 to 2866 of the family's 2925-position model. The record is from RNAcentral. Lineage: Bacteria; Pseudomonadati; Pseudomonadota; Gammaproteobacteria; Enterobacterales; Enterobacteriaceae.